Molecule: long non-coding RNA, 799 nt
Organism: Olea europaea var. sylvestris
Lineage: Eukaryota; Viridiplantae; Streptophyta; Magnoliopsida; Lamiales; Oleaceae
Exons: 4
Source: RefSeq, a predicted model, not a curated record
CUUAUCUAUCAUUCUUGAUUAUGUUUGUAAAUAUAUAAAUUUUUCAAACUUCAUUCUUCAUAUCUUUUGGUUCAAUGAGUAAUCUACAGAAUUGGCUCAUGUUUCGAUGGCAGUUAUUAAAGCUUCAAUUUGAUUGAGCUUACUUCUAAUAACAUAAUUUUAGUGAGUUCAUGAAGCUAUAUAUCCAUGUAAUUGAUCUUAUAGUACUUUUAUUCAAAUUUAUCACAGUAAGUUCACGAAACAAUCUAUCUGUCUAUUUCUUUUCCAAGGUUCACACGAAAAAGAUAACUUGAGUGUGGGAAAGGAGCUUCAGGAUGAGUUAGAUGUGCUUAUUGAAUGUAGGGAUGUCUACAAAGUAUUUGGAGGAAAGCAUGUCGUAAGAGAUGUGAACUUCAAGCUCUACACCCAUAUGUGCUACUCAAACUUCAAUGUUGCUAUCCGCUCUAUCAUAAACAUAGAUACAAAUGUAGUCACUGUUGAGAAUUCAAAGUCAGUCAAGAAGCUUUGUUCAAUUUUUUGUGAGAUAGUGAGGCAUUGGUUUCUAUUGGUCUGGUGCACAAUUUUUGUUGUCUUUUAGAGUGUGAUAAUGGAUGGUUUAUGCAAAAAUGUCACAACUGCAGUACCAAUGGAGUACUCUCUACUCCGUCUCUUCUUCAUCCUCUACCUCUUGAUUAUAGCUUACAGAGGCACUUAUUAUUUUGGUCGCAAUUCAGAGCUUGUAAUUGAUGCAAUUAUAAGUAAUUUGCAAUUCAAGAAGAAAUAUAAAGAAGAUAUUAUCUUUGAAUCUUCACUUAAACAC